Oryza meridionalis is the source of this 207-nucleotide non-coding RNA. Lineage: Eukaryota; Viridiplantae; Streptophyta; Magnoliopsida; Poales; Poaceae. The record is from Rfam.
AAUAAGUGCAGUUUGUGGGUUUCAGUGUCCAACUUUAACCAUCCUACAUAUUUGAAAUAUUUUUAUGAUUAGUAUUUUUAUUGUCAUUAGAUGAUAAAAUAUGAAUAACAUUUUAUGCGUGACUUCACUUUUAAAAUAUUUUCAUAAUAUUUUUAAAUAAGACGGACGGUUAAGCGUUAGACACAAAAACUUAUGACUGCACUUAUA